This 569-nucleotide long non-coding RNA is filed under the name Ananas comosus (pineapple). RNAcentral's name for it is "long non-coding RNA (ACOM_LNC019159)". The record is from RNAcentral. Lineage: Eukaryota; Viridiplantae; Streptophyta; Magnoliopsida; Poales; Bromeliaceae.
AGAGAGGGGUGACAAAAAAAAAUUAUAGAAGAAGCAAGAAAAAAAAAUAAAGAUGAAAAAUUAUAGAAAAAAAAAGAUAAAGAUAAAAUUGUACCGUUAAAAUAAAAUAGUGCAACAAGAGGAGAAAUAGUUCAACAAGAGGAGAAACAGUGCAAGAAGAGAAAAAACAGUAUAAAUAUCUCUUAAAGUGGUAUAAUUAUAUCUCAAAGAGUACAACAAGAGGAGAAACAGUGUAAAUAUUUCUCAAAGAGUAUAACUUUUCUUUAAAGAGUAUAACUUUUAUCUUAAUGGAUGCAGUUUAUAUCUGAAAGAGUGCAAUAAGAGGAGAAACAGUAUAAAUAUCUCCCAAAUAGUGCAAUUUUCGUUUAAAGAGUGUAAUUUUCAUCUUAAAACUGCAGUUUACAUCUUAAUAGUGCAACGUUCUUUUAAAAUAGUGCAAUUUUAUUUUAACGGUGCAAUUUUAUUUUCAUCUUUCUUUUUCUAUAAUUAUUAUCUUUUUUUUUUUCUUACUUCUUCUAUAAUUUUUUUUGUCACCCCUCUCUGCCAGCGCCGACGACGACACCACUAAA